RNAcentral lists this ribosomal RNA (377 nucleotides) under uncultured bacterium. RNAcentral's name for it is "bacterial SSU rRNA". It matches the Rfam family "Bacterial small subunit ribosomal RNA", at positions 523 to 898 of the family's 1533-position model. The record is from RNAcentral.
AUACGUAGGUGGCAAGCGUUAUCCGGAUUUACUGGGUGUAAAGGGCGCGCAGGCGGCCUCGCAAGUCAGAUGUGAAAGCUCAAGGCUUAACCUUGGAAUGUCAUCUGAAACUGCGGGACUUGAGUAUCAGAGGGGAAAGUGGAAUUCCUGGUGGAGCGGUAAAAUGCGCAGAGAUCAGGAGGAACACCGGUGGCGAAGGCGACUUUCUGGCUGACAACUGACGCUGAGGCGCGAAAGCGUGGGGAGCAAACAGGAUUAGAUACCCUGGUAGUCCACGCCGUAAACGAUGAUUACUGGGUGUAGGGGGUAUCGACUCCCUCUGUGCCGAAGCAAACGCGAUAAGUAAUCCACCUGGGGAGUACGGCCGCAAGGCUAAA